RNAcentral lists this ribosomal RNA (292 nucleotides) under uncultured bacterium. Its description in RNAcentral is "partial 16S ribosomal RNA". It matches the Rfam family "Bacterial small subunit ribosomal RNA", at positions 505 to 796 of the family's 1533-position model. The record is from RNAcentral.
GUGUCAGCCGCCGCGGUAAUACGUAGGGUCCGAGCGUUGUCCGGAAUUAUUGGGCGUAAAGGGCUCGUAGGCGGUUUGUCACGUCGGGAGUGAAAACUCAGGGCUCAACCCUGAGCGUGCUUCCGAUACGGGCAGACUAGAGGUAUGCAGGGGAGAACGGAAUUCCUGGUGUAGCGGUGGAAUGCGCAGAUAUCAGGAGGAACACCGGUGGCGAAGGCGGUUCUCUGGGCAUUACCUGACGCUGAGGAGCGAAAGCAUGGGGAGCGAACAGGAUUAGAAACCCCUGUAGUCC